ACUACAGGGGACUCCUGGAAACUGCUGGGCAGGCUGGACAUUUAAAACAGACAUAGGCUAAUGAAGCAAGUACGACAGUUACCCACCUUUCGUGACUGAAGACGCUGAAACUCAGCAGUUUUAGAACCCAAGCUCUCUGACUCCAAGCUUGCGCUAGUGACCGUCAGUUUCUCUAGCACGUUACCUGGCUGAGCUUUCAGCGAAAGCACAAACGCGUGCAGGAGCCGGGGGGUCCCUGGCCAGGUUUCCAGCUGGGGCUGCUGGUUUAUACUGACAUCAUAAACCCUGGGAUGGAAGUAAUUUUGAAAGUUUUCAGAGCAAUGCCUGAUGGAAAACCUGUCACCGCUCAGGAGGCUGAACAAGCCACUCGAUUCCUAUGGAUUCGAGUCUAUGGAAGAGGAGAUAAGGAGGUCAAUCCUAGGACUGAGUUGGAUAUCACAUCAGCACACUGACCGGUGUCUUCUCUCUGAACUGGUGAAGCACUGCUUGAUUGGCAGCAUAGGGCUGUCUCCCAUGCUCAUUCUUGCUGUUCGUUUUGUUUUUCCGUUUUAUGUGAUAAAUGUUAUUCUAGCUGAUGGGCACUUUGAUCAGCUUGUCUCACAACUUUUCUUUGAAAAUCGCAUGUUCCCUUUCAGAAGAUUUCUCGGCAAAAAUGGUUUUAAAUUAAGUCAUCAAAGAAAAAAUAAUGCACAGAGGCCAAUUAAUAUGCUCACUGAAAUGGACUGUGCUCCUUCUUCUUUCUUUAAUCCUGACCCACGCAGUUAA
This is a long non-coding RNA of Bos indicus x Bos taurus (hybrid cattle), 765 nucleotides long. Lineage: Eukaryota; Metazoa; Chordata; Mammalia; Artiodactyla; Bovidae. The record is from Ensembl.